AUUGAACGCUGGCGGCAGGCCUAACACAUGCAAGUCGAACGGUAACAGGAAGAAGCUUGCUUCUUUGCUGACGAGUGGCGGACGGGUGAGUAAUGUCUGGGAAACUGCCUGAUGGAGGGGGAUAACUACUGGAAACGGUAGCUAAUACCGCAUAACGUCGCAAGACCAAAGAGGGGGACCUUCGGGCCUCUUGCCAUCGGAUGUGCCCAGAUGGGAUUAGCUAGUAGGUGGGGUAACGGCUCACCUAGGCGACGAUCCCUAGCUGGUCUGAGAGGAUGACCCGCCACACUGGAACUGAGACACGGCCCAAACUCCUACGGGAGGAAGCAGUGGAGAAUAUUGCACAAUGGGCGCAAGCCUGAUGCAGCCAUGCCGCGUGGAGGAAGAAGGCCUUCGGGUUGUAAAGUACUUUCAGCGGGGAGGAAGGGAGUAAAGUUAAUACCUUUGCUCAUUGACGUUAACCGCAGAAGAAGCAACGGCUAACUCCGUG
This 490-nucleotide ribosomal RNA is filed under the name uncultured bacterium. RNAcentral's name for it is "partial 16S ribosomal RNA". It matches the Rfam family "Bacterial small subunit ribosomal RNA", at positions 30 to 507 of the family's 1533-position model. The record is from RNAcentral.